Molecule: ribosomal RNA, 253 nt
Filed under: uncultured bacterium
Lineage: Bacteria
Description: partial 16S ribosomal RNA
Rfam family: Bacterial small subunit ribosomal RNA
Source: RNAcentral
UACGUAGGGUCCGAGCGUUGUCCGGAAUUAUUGGGCGUAAAGAGCUCGUAGGUGGUUUGUUGCGUCGUUCGUGAAAACUCACAGCUCAACUGUGGGCGUGCGGGCGAUACGGGCAGGCUGGAGUACUGCAGGGGAGACUGGAAUUCCUGGUGUAGCGGUGGAAUGCGCAGAUAUCAGGAAGAACACCGGUGGCGAAGGCGGGUCUCUGGGCAGUAACUGACGCUGAGGAGCGAAAGCGUGGGGAGCGAACAGG